This 218-nucleotide unclassified non-coding RNA is filed under the name uncultured Tomentella. RNAcentral describes it as "sequence contains ITS2". Lineage: Eukaryota; Fungi; Basidiomycota; Agaricomycetes; Thelephorales; Thelephoraceae. The record is from RNAcentral.
ACACCUCAACUCUCAUGGGUUCACCAUGAUGAGCUUGGACUUUGGGGGUUUUGCUGGCUUGUGGUCGGCUCCUCUCAAAUGAAUCAGCUUACCAGCGUCUGGCGGCUCGCAGGUGUGAUAACUAUCUACGCCUGUGGUCUUCUGCCGGAUAACCUUCAGCAAUGGAGGUUCGUUGGAGCUUAUAGACGUUCUCCCUCAGUGAGGACAGCUCUUUGAAC